Long non-coding RNA from Oncorhynchus tshawytscha (Chinook salmon), 354 nucleotides. The record is from Ensembl. NCBI's taxonomy places the organism in Eukaryota, Metazoa, Chordata, Actinopteri, Salmoniformes, Salmonidae.
GUGUUGGAGGUGUCAGUGUUAGAGGUGUCUGUGUUAGAGGUGUCAGUGUUAGAGGUGUCUGUGUUAGAGGUGUCAGUGUUAGAGGUGUCUGUGUUGGAGAUGUCAGUGUUGGAGGUGUCUGUGUUAGAGGUGUCAGUGUUAGAGGUGUCUGUGUUAGAGGUGUCUGUGUUGGAGGUGUCUGUGUGGUGUAUGUCUGUGUUGGAGGUGUAUGUGUGGUGUAUGUCUGUGUUGGAGGUGUCUGUGUUGGAGGUGUCUGUGUUGGAGGUGUCAGUGUUGGAGGUGUCUGUGUUGGAGGUGUCUGUGUUGGAGGUGUCAGUGUUGGAGGUGUCUGUGUUGGAGGUGUCAGUGUUAGAG